GAAAAAUUUAGUUAAAUCAUAACAUUAGUUUGUCAAACUAAAAUUAUCUUAAAAUAAUUUUU
RNAcentral lists this transfer RNA (62 nucleotides) under Coleoptera sp. ACP-2013. Its description in RNAcentral is "tRNA-Asp". Lineage: Eukaryota; Metazoa; Arthropoda; Insecta; Coleoptera. The record is from RNAcentral.